Bos taurus (domestic cattle) is the source of this 1223-nucleotide long non-coding RNA. The record is from Ensembl. Lineage: Eukaryota; Metazoa; Chordata; Mammalia; Artiodactyla; Bovidae.
UUCUAAUUGUGGUGCUGGAGAAGAUUAUUGAGAGUCCCUUGGACAGCAGUGAGAUCAAACCAGUCAGUCCUAAAGGCAAUCAAACCUGAAUAUUCACUGGAAGGAACAAUGCCAAAGCUGAAGCUCCAAUACUUUGGUCACCUGAGUGCAAAUGGCCAACUCAUUGGAAAAGACUCUGAUGUUGUGAAAGACUGAUGGCAGGGGGAGAAGCAGGCAACAGAGGAUGAGAUGGUUGGAUAACACCAUUGACUCAAUGGACAUGAGUUUGAGCAAACUCUGGGAGACAGUGAAGGACAGGGAAGCCUGGCAUUCUGCAGUUCAGAGGGUCGCAAAGUCAGUCAUGACUGAGCAGCUGAACAACUUCCUCACUACCAUCUCUCUUCUAUCCCCAAAUCUUGAUUGAUGCCAACAAAGUCAAACAUGUUCAUAAGAGUAAAAAGUCUCUCAACAGACAAGCCCUCAAACGCUCAUGUUACUCCAGAGGAAACACUUCAGAGGCACUGUGAGGGGUGGGCUGCAAAGCAACGCAAGGAAAGUUGAACAGUGCCAUGGAGCCAGGGGCUGGAGACGCCACCCCCUACUGAUGCCCUUGGGUGACCUUCACCAUCCUGUAGCUCUGCAGUUCUGGGGAGGGGAGGGGCGUGCAAGACCUGCAAGAGGGGGGCCCUUAGUCACAAGAUACUUCCUGGUAAAAAGAGAAGGAGGCCAAAAUGGAUUUGAGAUUAUAUAGAGAGUAGGAUCUUUUUAAAGAGUUUUAUCUCAAAGGGAAGGGAGAAAAAAAAUGAUUUUAAAAAAAGCAACACUUGAACUAGGCUUUUGUAUUCAAGAGGCAGGCAGGAAUACCCACAGUGUGUAACUUAUGCAGCUAGAGCUGCUCAUUCACUGGCAAAAAUUUUAAAAAAGAGAGCAAGUCUGCUCUUAAAAAAAUACUGUGUGUCCUGUGAGGUGAAUUUGUUCACCUAUUAGGUUGGAGACCUGAAGAGCUUGGCUGAGAUGAUCUGUUUUCUACCAGGGCAAGUCAUCACAAAAAUGACUGAACUUACUUUUGAACUUGCACUGCCAUGAUCCUGCUGUGCUUUUCAGCAUUGGGGCUAUCAAACUGAAUGGGCUAAUCAAAUACAAUUCUCAGGCCCGUAAGCAUUGUUCUAAAGUCUUCAUCAUUAAAUGAUAUGCUGUGAGAACAAUAGACAGUUUAUUUUAUUAGGCCAUGGCCUGGGGGAAGG